This 562-nucleotide ribosomal RNA is filed under the name Apodemus agrarius (Eurasian field mouse). RNAcentral's name for it is "partial 16S ribosomal RNA". It matches the Rfam family "Bacterial large subunit ribosomal RNA", at positions 1810 to 2599 of the family's 2925-position model. Lineage: Eukaryota; Metazoa; Chordata; Mammalia; Rodentia; Muridae. The record is from RNAcentral.
AAAACAUCACCUCUAGCAUACUAAGUAUUAGAGGCAUUGCCUGCCCAGUGACUAAAGUUUAACGGCCGCGGUAUCCUGACCGUGCAAAGGUAGCAUAAUCACUUGUUCCUUAAUUAGGGACUAGCAUGAACGGCUAGACGAGGGUUUGACUGUCUCUUAUUUUUGAUCAGUGAAAUUGACCUUUCAGUGAAGAGGCUGAAAUACUAUAAUAAGACGAGAAGACCCUAUGGAGCUUUAAUUUAUCAGUUUAAUCAUACUAAUAAAAUUACCUAAUGGAAUAACCACAAUGAUAUAAACUCAUAAUUUCGGUUGGGGUGACCUCGGAGAAAAGAAAAUCCUCCGAAUGAUUUUAACAUAGAUCCACAAAUCAAAGUAAGCAAUCUAUCUUAUUGACCCAAAAAUCUUUUUUGAUCAACGGACCAAGUUACCCUAGGGAUAACAGCGCAAUCCUAUUUAAGAGUUCAUAUCGACAAUUAGGGUUUACGACCUCGAUGUUGGAUCAGGACAUCCCAAUGGUGCAGAAGCUAUUAAUGGUUCGUUUGUUCAACGAUUAAAGUCCUAC